This 508-nucleotide ribosomal RNA is filed under the name uncultured bacterium. RNAcentral's name for it is "partial 16S ribosomal RNA". It matches the Rfam family "Bacterial small subunit ribosomal RNA", at positions 28 to 523 of the family's 1533-position model. The record is from RNAcentral.
GAUGAACGCUAGCUACAGGCUUAACACAUGCAAGUCGAGGGGAAACGACAUCGAAAGCUUGCUUUUGAUGGGCGUCGACCGGCGCACGGGUGAGUAACGCGUAUCCAACCUGCCCACCACUUGGGGAUAACCUUGCGAAAGUAAGACUAAUACCCAAUGACGUCUCUAGAAGACAUCUGAAGGAGAUUAAAGAUUUAUCGGUGAUGGAUGGGGAUGCGUCUGAUUAGCUUGUUGGCGGGGUAACGGCCCACCAAGGCGACGAUCAGUAGGGGUUCUGAGAGGAAGGUCCCCCACAUUGGAACUGAGACACGGUCCAAACUCCUACGGGAGGCAGCAGUGAGGAAUAUUGGUCAAUGGGCGAGAGCCUGAACCAGCCAAGUAGCGUGCAGGAUGACGGCCCUAUGGGUUGUAAACUGCUUUUAUAAGGGAAUAAAGUGAGCCUCGUGAGACUUUUUGCAUGUACCUUAUGAAUAAGGACCGGCUAAUUCCGUGCCAGCAGCCGCAGUAA